UCUCCGUUGGUGAACCAGCGGAGGGAUCAUUACAGGACUCGCAAGACUCCUACAACCCUGUGAACUUAACUAUAAGCACGUUGCUUCGGUGGGUGUCUCGGAGGGGGUUCUCCCUCCCCGAGACGCUAAACCCGCCGGCAGCCUACUAUACUCUGUCUCUUUGCGUUGGCAUCUCGAGUACAAUCAAACAAGUUAAAACUUUCAACAACGGAUCUCUUGGUUCUG
RNAcentral lists this unclassified non-coding RNA (225 nucleotides) under plant metagenome. RNAcentral describes it as "partial contains small subunit ribosomal RNA, internal transcribed spacer 1, and 5.8S ribosomal RNA". The record is from RNAcentral.